This 348-nucleotide unclassified non-coding RNA is filed under the name soil metagenome. Its description in RNAcentral is "partial contains 5.8S ribosomal RNA, internal transcribed spacer 2, and large subunit ribosomal RNA". The stretch from base 1 to 120 matches the Rfam family "5.8S ribosomal RNA", at positions 35 to 154 of the family's 154-position model. The record is from RNAcentral.
GAUGAAGAACGUAGCGAAAUGCGAAAAGUAAUGUGAAUUGCAGAAUUCAGUGAAUCAUCGAAUCUUUGAACGCACAUUGCGCCCGCCAGUAUUCUGGCGGGCAUGCCUGUCUGAGCGUCAUUUCAACCCUCAUGCCCCUAGGGCGUGGUGUUGGGGAUCGGCCAGCGCCCGCGAGGGACGGCCGGCCCCUAAAUCUAGUGGCGGACCCGUCGUGACCUCCCCUGCGAAGUAGUGAUAUUCCGCAUAGGAGAGCGACGAGCCCCUGCCGUUAAACCCCCAACUUUCUAAGGUUGACCUCAGAUCAGGUAGGAAUACCCGCUGAACUUAAGCAUAUCAAUAAGCGGAGGA